RNAcentral lists this long non-coding RNA (203 nucleotides) under Elaeis guineensis (African oil palm). Its description in RNAcentral is "long non-coding RNA (EGUI_LNC048427)". The record is from RNAcentral. Lineage: Eukaryota; Viridiplantae; Streptophyta; Magnoliopsida; Arecales; Arecaceae.
AAGCAUGGAAAAAGCUAAGGAAGGAGGCCUGCUUGUCUUUGCCCACAUCGAAGCAUCUGAUGAAUAUGCCGUUGGCUUCGGCAAACCCCCAUCAAUAAAACAUAGUUUAUUCUUCGCAUGAAGUGCAUUAGUCAUGGCAUGAACCCAAAUGAGAUAAUUUUCUACAAAUGUCACCAAGAUCAUCAUCAUAAAUUAAUUUUCGG